CUGUUCUGAGGCCAAAAGGAGGAGCAACUGAAUAUUAGGAAGUGUGGACCAUCUACGCCCUAGCUGCACUCCUGACUCUGACAGUCAUAGCCAUGGUGGCUAAACUACUACUGCAUAUUACAGUGAAAAGUGAUGUAACAUGGAGAUAUGGCCGUGUGGGAACACAAACCCUAACCAGCCUGGUCACCUGUGAGCUGCAAGUCAAUAUUCAACGUCCAUCCAUUUCUGAUGUCAGGAGAUGAUGUAAAAACCGUCCACUAGGGGUAAAUGAGCGUUGUUAUCUUCAAGAAGUUUUCAGUUUUGCUCGAGCGUUCUGAACAGGGAUGGCGGAUGGCGUAAGCGACUGCCUCUGAUUCCAAAGGUUGUAAAUUCAAAUCCAGCGAUAGAAAGUUGUUUUUGAGAAUAAAAAAAUUAAGCCUAACCCAAA
Molecule: long non-coding RNA, 427 nt
Organism: Oncorhynchus mykiss (rainbow trout)
Lineage: Eukaryota; Metazoa; Chordata; Actinopteri; Salmoniformes; Salmonidae
Source: RefSeq, a predicted model, not a curated record